Long non-coding RNA from Aphis gossypii (cotton aphid), 458 nucleotides. RefSeq lists it as uncharacterized. The transcript has 2 exons. Lineage: Eukaryota; Metazoa; Arthropoda; Insecta; Hemiptera; Aphididae. The record is from RefSeq and is a predicted model, not a curated record.
ACACACAAUAUGUAUAUUGUAUAUAUAUAUAUAUUUAUGAUAUUGUGUAUAUUGCCUACAUCACGACACGACGUAAAUCGUAGGCGAACAACGCACGAAACGAUGAUGGACAAAAAAUACUACGACGACUCGAACUCUAUAUACUACACUGUGAAUACUAUUUUGUUGGUUUGAUGCAUAGAUGUUGCAACGUACUGGGACUUAACCAUUUAAAAUUUUAAAUCGACGAAUGAACCCGACCCGAGACAAACGGACGCGUUUCAGAAAAAAUAUAAAUACCGCCUGCUACCUAUCGAGAGCAUCGACAGCUGCGAUGCUCUAAGGGUUUUCGGGCUGAUAUUCUCCGCAAAGUACACACUUGCUUGGUGUAUACACUAUAUUACAGCAAAUCUGGACAAGGUUUAUGUUUAUUAACCGAGUUGUGUUAAAUUGAUAAAACAUUUUUAAAAAAAUUUAAA